AGAAACGGGAUCAUCUUAGGGAAGUCACUGACUUCCUCAUGUCUACAUGGAUAAGAAGAUUCAAGUCAGGUUGAGAGUUCAGGUUUGCAGCCUCAGGGAAAAGCUGCAGACAACCUCAUCAACGAGAGUUCAUUUUUCAAAAAGUGCAUUUCUGCAGUCGCGAAUGACUUCACUCAGGAUACAAGAGGACGGCUCAAUAUAGAACUUCGGCAGCUCCCAAUCCAUCCUCGAGUUUCCUUCGAGUUUACUUCCAGCUGUGCUAUGGUUAGAACAUCAGCGAGUGUUAUUACAAUGGACUAAAGAACGAAUUCGUUUA
Molecule: long non-coding RNA, 316 nt
Filed under: Fukomys damarensis (Damara mole-rat)
Lineage: Eukaryota; Metazoa; Chordata; Mammalia; Rodentia; Bathyergidae
Description: lncRNA (ENSFDAG00000026929.1)
Source: RNAcentral